This 74-nucleotide transfer RNA is filed under the name Phycisphaerae bacterium. RNAcentral's name for it is "tRNA-Arg". It matches the Rfam family "tRNA". Rfam says of the family: Transfer RNA (tRNA) molecules are approximately 80 nucleotides in length. Their secondary structure includes four short double-helical elements and three loops (D, anti-codon, and T loops). The record is from RNAcentral. Lineage: Bacteria; Pseudomonadati; Planctomycetota; Phycisphaerae.
GCGCUGGUAGCUCAAUUGGAUAGAGCGUUGGCCUCCGAAGCCAAAGGUUGUGGGUUCGAUUCCCGCCCAGCGCA